AUGACGUACGAUGGAGUAGCAUAUGAGGUGCGCCUCAAGACCCGGUGGUGUCAGUGCGAGAGACCUCACAAGUGUCAUUGGCCUUGCUCGCACGUGAUGACCGCCGCAAGGUUCAAAAACUUGAAAGUAUCCGAUGGUACCACCUUGCGGUUGCAUGAGUUCACAUUGGAACGAACGAGGUUGACAUGGGCUCCUAGGUUUCAUCCCUUCCUAGAUCAGUCAAAGUGGCCUGAGUAUGAUGGGCCACACAUCGUCCCCGACCCUGAACUCAUGGUGCCUACAAAGGGAAGAAGAAGAAAGAAGAGGUUUAGGGGUGACAUGGAUGACCUAGCUGGAUACACCAGAAUGAAACAAUUUGGUAGCGGCCAUUUCAUGGAGGCACCGGACAUCAAUAGUUGUGGUAAAUGUGACGAGCCGGGACACAAUGUUAGGAAAUGCACCAAAAAGUCACGGAUCGAUGCCAACACUCCGGAUCCCACUAGUCAAAGUGAUGCCCGAAGAGGAGUUACCGGUGGCACAUGA
RNAcentral lists this ribosomal RNA (522 nucleotides) under Triticum aestivum (bread wheat). Its description in RNAcentral is "partial small subunit ribosomal RNA". The record is from RNAcentral. Lineage: Eukaryota; Viridiplantae; Streptophyta; Magnoliopsida; Poales; Poaceae.